RNAcentral lists this ribosomal RNA (253 nucleotides) under uncultured bacterium. RNAcentral describes it as "partial 16S ribosomal RNA". It matches the Rfam family "Bacterial small subunit ribosomal RNA", at positions 524 to 776 of the family's 1533-position model. The record is from RNAcentral.
UACGUAGGGUGCGAGCGUUAAUCGGAAUUACUGGGCGUAAAGCGUGCGCAGGCGGCUUUGUAAGACAGGCGUGAAAUCCCCGGGCUUAACCUGGGAAUGGCGCUUGUGACUGCAAAGCUGGAGUGCGGCAGAGGGGGAUGGAAUUCCGCGUGUAGCAGUGAAAUGCGUAGAUAUGCGGAGGAACACCGAUGGCGAAGGCAAUCCCCUGGGCCUGCACUGACGCUCAUGCACGAAAGCGUGGGGAGCAAACAGG